Molecule: ribosomal RNA, 450 nt
Filed under: uncultured Entrophospora
Lineage: Eukaryota; Fungi; Glomeromycota; Glomeromycetes; Entrophosporales; Entrophosporaceae
Description: SSU rRNA
Rfam family: Eukaryotic small subunit ribosomal RNA
Source: RNAcentral
AGCAGCCGCGGUAAUUCCAGCUCCAAUAGCGUAUAUUAAAGUUGUUGCAGUUAAAAAGCUCGUAGUUGAAUUUCGGGAUUGACACAUCGGUCGUGCCCUAAGGGGUAUGAACUGGUGUAGUCAAUUUCUCACCUUCUGGAGAACCGCGAUGCCCUUAAUUGGGUGUCGCGGGGAACCAGGACCUUUACUUUGAAAAAUUAGAGUGUUUAAAGCAGGCAUUUUGCUUGAAUACAUUAGCAUGGAAUAAUAAAAUAGGACGGCAUGAUUCUAUUUUGUUGGUUUCUAGGAUCACCGUAAUGAUUAAUAGGGAUAGUUGGGGGCAUUAGUAUUCAAUUGUCAGAGGUGAAAUUCUUGGAUUUAUUGAAGACUAACUACUGCGAAAGCAUUUGCCAAGGAUGUUUUCAUUAAUCAAGAACGAAAGUUAGGGGAUCGAAGACGAUCAGAUACCGU